GAUCCUGGAGUCGGCGAUCCUGACGGCGGUGGUGGUGGUGAGCCUGACGGCGUACACGUUCUGGGCGGCGAGGCGCGGGCACGACUUCAGCUUCCUGGGCCCGUUCCUGUUCGCGGCGGUGAUGAUCCUCAUGGUGUUCGCGCUCAUCCAGGCCUUCUUCCCGCUGGGCCGCAUCUCGCUGAUGGUCUACGGCGGGCUGGCGGCGCUCGUCUUCUGCGGCUACAUCAUCUACGACACCGACAACCUCAUCAAGCGCUACUCCUACGACGAGUACGUCUGGGCCGCCGUCGCGCUCUACCUCGACGUCAUCAACCUCUUCCUCUCCCUGCUCACCCUCUUCAGGGCAUCCGAUUCCUGAAGUGCCUGCAUCUCCCGCCGUAGCGUAGCGUAGCCCCUCCUCCUAUCCUACUCUAGUAAUCCUUCCCCUGCCGUUACAUCACGAAUGUGCUUUGCUUGUGUGUGAAACAAUUUAUUGUAAAUUAGUUUUGACUUGUUUUUACAUAAUUUGGUCUAUGUGACUUUGUAGGCUGCCAAUAUCAAGA
This 542-nucleotide long non-coding RNA is filed under the name Triticum aestivum (bread wheat). RNAcentral's name for it is "long non-coding RNA (TAES_LNC009184)". Lineage: Eukaryota; Viridiplantae; Streptophyta; Magnoliopsida; Poales; Poaceae. The record is from RNAcentral.